UAGGGAAUCUUCCGCAAUGGGCGAAAGCCUGACGGAGCAACGCCGCGUGAGUGAUGAAGGUCUUCGGAUCGUAAAACUCUGUUAUUAGGGAAGAACAAAUGUGUAAGUAACUAUGCACGUCUUGACGGUACCUAAUCAGAAAGCCACGGCUAACUACGUGCCAGCAGCCGCGGUAAUACGUAGGUGGCAAGCGUUAUCCGGAAUUAUUGGGCGUAAAGCGCGCGUAGGCGGUUUUUUAAGUCUGAUGUGAAAGCCCACGGCUCAACCGUGGAGGGUCAUUGGAAACUGGAAAACUUGAGUGCAGAAGAGGAAAGGGGAAUUCCAUGUGUAGCGGUGAAAUGCGCAGAGAUAUGGAGGAACACCAGUGGCGAAGGCGACUUUCUGAUCUGUAACUGACGCUGAUGUGCGAAAGCGUGGGGAUCAAACAGG
RNAcentral lists this ribosomal RNA (429 nucleotides) under Actinomycetes bacterium. RNAcentral describes it as "Actinobacteria bacterium partial 16S ribosomal RNA". It matches the Rfam family "Bacterial small subunit ribosomal RNA", at positions 355 to 776 of the family's 1533-position model. Lineage: Bacteria; Bacillati; Actinomycetota; Actinomycetes. The record is from RNAcentral.